Molecule: ribosomal RNA, 467 nt
Filed under: uncultured bacterium
Lineage: Bacteria
Description: bacterial SSU rRNA
Rfam family: Bacterial small subunit ribosomal RNA
Source: RNAcentral
CCAGACUCCUACGGGAGGCAGCAGUGAGGAAUAUUGGUCAAUGGUCGCGAGACUGAACCAGCCAAGUAGCGUGCAGGAUGACGGCCCUAUGGGUUGUAAACUGCUUUUAUGCGGGGAUAAAAUGCGUCACGUGUGAUGUUUUGUAGGUACCGCAUGAAUAAGGACCGGCUAAUUCCGUGCCAGCAGCCGCGGUAAUACGGAGGAUCCGAGCGUUAUCCGGAUUUAUUGGGUUUAAAGGGAGCGUAGAUGGGUUGUUAAGUCAGUUGUGAAAGUUUGCGGCUCAACCGUAAAAUUGCAAUUGAUACUGGCAGUCUUGAGUACAGUUGAGGUAGGCGGAAUUCGUGGUGUAGCGGUGAAAUGCAUAGAUAUCACGCAGAACUCCGAUUGCGAAGGCAGCAUACCGGCGCUCAACUGACGCUGAGGCACGAAAGCGUGGGGAUCGAACAGGAUUAGAUACCCCCGUAGCC